AACUCCAAUUACGUUGGAACCAUUUCCCUGCCACUUUUCUUCUGCUAGAGGCUAGAGCUGCAAGGAGCAAGUAUAGCUAAUGGAUCAUAAGUUGAUUUUCUCUGCACAAAGACUUCCCAGCGUGGACCAAAGUGGGCCCGCCACUGCUCCUGUGUCUUGUAAUGAGGGAGAUAUUGCUUUACCCCAAGAUGCGCAUCCUCACAGAAAUCCAGAACCCUUUGGUUUUGAGUUAAUAUAUGAGCUAAGCCGUCGGUUCCUGUGGAUGUGGGAUUUGCUUGUGAUAGGAAGGCCACCAGGGCUCAAGUCGGUUUAUUAUCGACAUCUGUUACUGUAGUAUGCUCUUUUACCAUCUUUGGCGCUGGCUCCAGAGAGAUUCUUGCUCUAGUUAUUAUGCCAAACUGCCCGAGUCCUCCCAGCACUCCAUGGAAGAGUGUAUAUUAGGAUCUUAUAUAUACCUGUAACAACCUCGAGCUGAUGGACGUUACUGAUUUGGGGGCCAUGUCGAAAUGCCUGCCCGCUGAUCCCUGCAUUAGACAAAGUACCGCCAACUGUAAGAUCAGGGACAUCCACAUAGGGGAAGCGUCCUUCGUGAACACGCAUGAUGUCACCUCCACGGAGUGACUCCAUGUUGAUUAUGAUUCCUUGGUGUGCUUGUGCCUGACCUUGGAGCGAGUGGCCAUGGCCCCUAGCAGCAACUGUCAGUUCUGAGCCGGGUCCCAUUUGCCAAACAUGCUUUAUGGUUGUGGAAAUAUCAGCGACGGACUUGGGGUGUAAAACUGCCAAAGGGAGGUGAUGAUAUCGAUUGCCAAAAUCUCUGGCGGCUAAUUCGUUGUUCUCAAAGCUGAAAUGGCCGUAGAGCUGAAGCGCCUUCAGCGAAGACGGGACACUGGAGAAACACAGAGAGUUUUUGGCAAGGCAAAGGUGGAAACUUUCUGUUGUUUUUUGGGCUCGAAGUAAAAGAAAAAGUAGAGGCGAGAACAGGCAAGGCUGAAGAGUCGAGGAGGAAAUUUAAAGGGAGAUUUGGGUGGCAGAGUCAACCAAUCUUCAACCUUCAAUCUUCAAUCUUCAAUGGUAAGCAUCCGUAUGAAGACUUGCUACUUUUGGUGGGAUAGUCUGAAAGAAAUAUUUUUAGUUCCCUUUUUCUGCUUCUUUAAUUUAUAGCAACACAACAUCACAUAUGCCAAGUUGAAGGCCCCAAAAAAAAAAAAAAAAAAAGUCACAACAAAGAUUUCCCAAAUCUUUUCACUUUCACUUACAGUUGAUUCCAUAUUUUCACCUUUUUAUUUUUUUUCCUUAAAAAAACAAAACCAUCGUAAUCUUUACUCAAUUACUAUGUCGAGGAUUAGCUUUGCCAUUAUAGGAAAGGUAACAGACUAACAGUUGUGCAUGGAUGCGUAUUUUCUUUAAUUUGUUACUCUGAGGAUGAGUUUUGUUUAGAAUUGAGGCAAAAAACAUAGCGUAUCUAAAUUCAGAUCUAUGAAAGGGACGAGUGGACCGGGGGGUGGAUCAUGUGUGCAGGCAUGAUAUUUAGGGGUCCAUAUGACACGUGAAAUUGGAAUAAAUGUGUUGUUAUUCAAGGAAGAUCUAUAGACUAGCUGUUGGUUGGGUCCCUGGGCCGACGAAUGGAUGCAGAGAGAGGACAAGUCGGAGAAAACAAUGAAAGAAAGAAAGAAAGAAAGACUGUUUGUUUAAUUGUUUUGCCAGUAUGCUGCCAAUGCCAGAGUCUUGAUGACCUAGCCCAACAAAUCGACAAGCAGAUAGAUAAUCGAGUGCUUUAUAUCUUGAGAUUGGCCAUGGAAUCCAAACCGGCGAAUAUAAUAAGAAUUUGUGUGCUUGCUUUUAUGCAGACAUGUUUGCUUUUUUGGACUUGGAUGAGGAAUAGGGGGGGUUAGAUUCACAGAUAUUCUCAGACUCUUUUGAUGUGGGUGAUCAUCUUGUCUUUGAAAGAUGGAUGGAAUAAUAUCCAUUGUCUUUAUCAUCA
Long non-coding RNA from Ipomoea triloba (trilobed morning glory), 1981 nucleotides. RefSeq lists it as uncharacterized. The record is from RefSeq and is a predicted model, not a curated record. NCBI's taxonomy places the organism in Eukaryota, Viridiplantae, Streptophyta, Magnoliopsida, Solanales, Convolvulaceae. The transcript is spliced from 7 exons.